CCUACGGGUGGCAGCAGUGAGGAAUAUUGGUCAAUGGGCGGAAGCCUGAACCAGCCAAGUCGCGUGAGGGAAUAAGGCCCUACGGGUCGUAAACCUCUUUUGCCGGGGAGCAAGGGCCGGGACGCGUCCCGGCCCGGAGAGUACCCGGAGGAAACGCAUCGGCUACCUCCGUGACCGCAGCCGCGGUCAUACGGAGGAUGCGAGCGGUAUCCGGAUUUAUUGGGUUUAACGGGUGCGUAGGCGGGCUUUUAAGUCAGCGGUAAAAAUUCGGGGCUCAACCCCGUCCGGCCGUUGAAACUGGGGGCCUUGAGUGGGCGAGAGGAAGGCGGAAUGCGGGGUGUAGCGGUGAAAUGCAUAGAGAUCACGCAGAACCCCGAUUGCGAAGGCAGCCUUCCGGCGCCCUACUGACGCUGAGGCACGAAAGUGCGGGGAUCGUACAGGAUUAGAUACCCGUGUAGUC
This 460-nucleotide ribosomal RNA is filed under the name uncultured bacterium. RNAcentral's name for it is "partial 16S ribosomal RNA". It matches the Rfam family "Bacterial small subunit ribosomal RNA", at positions 338 to 795 of the family's 1533-position model. The record is from RNAcentral.